CUUCUCCUUUUGUUAUGUAUCGCUUCGAUGGUUUCCUCUUCGCCAAGGCCCCACUUCGGAGAGGUCAACCCUGAUGAUCGAAAGGACUUUUUGGAUUUUCUCCAAGAAAUCAACGACGAAGAGAUGAAUAACGAUGAGAAUUCGUUUUCUUCAAGUGGAAUCUCAUCUUUGGAUCCGUUUUUAGACGAAUUUGUGUUGAUGAAGCGGAUUUCGAACGUUAAUCAGCGGGAAAUUCAACGCAGAAACGCGCUCAAGAAAAAAUUAAGGAUUAAGAACGAAAGGAGGGAAUUUAUUCCGUGCUUUUUUAAUGCUGUGUCGUGUUUCGGAUAUUUUUAAAUUAAUAAAAUGUUUAUCAAUUUAGA
This is a non-coding RNA of Onthophagus taurus, 362 nucleotides long. The record is from RefSeq and is a predicted model, not a curated record. Lineage: Eukaryota; Metazoa; Arthropoda; Insecta; Coleoptera; Scarabaeidae.